AGAGUUUGAUCAUGGCUCAGAUUGAACGCUGGCGGCAGGCCUAACACAUGCAAGUCGAGCGGAUGACGGGAGCUUGCUCCUUGAUUCAGCGGCGGACGGGUGAGUAAUGCCUAGGAAUCUGCCUGGUAGUGGGGGACAACGUUUCGAAAGGAACGCUAAUACCGCAUACGUCCUACGGGAGAAAGCAGGGGACCUUCGGGCCUUGCGCUAUCAGAUGAGCCUAGGUCGGAUUAGCUAGUUGGUGGGGUAAUGGCUCACCAAGGCGACGAUCCGUAACUGGUCUGAGAGGAUGAUCAGUCACACUGGAACUGAGACACGGUCCAGACUCCUACGGGAGGCAGCAGUGGGGAAUAUUGGACAAUGGGCGAAAGCCUGAUCCAGCCAUGGCCGCGUGUGUGAAGAAGGUCUUCGGAUUGUAAAGCACUUUAAGUUGGGAGGAAGGGCAGUAAGCUAAUACCUUGCUGUUUUGACGUUACCGACAGAAUAAGCACCGGCUAACUCUGUGCCAGCAGCCGCGGUAAUACAGAGGGUGCAAGCGUUAAUCGGAAUUACUGGGCGUAAAGCGCGCGUAGGUGGUUUGUUAAGUUGGAUGUGAAAGCCCCGGGCUCAACCUGGGAACUGCAUCCAAAACUGGCAAGCUAGAGUACGGUAGAGGGUGGUGGAAUUUCCUGUGUAGCGGUGAAAUGCGUAGAUAUAGGAAGGAACACCAGUGGC
Molecule: ribosomal RNA, 714 nt
Filed under: uncultured bacterium
Lineage: Bacteria
Description: bacterial SSU rRNA
Rfam family: Bacterial small subunit ribosomal RNA
Source: RNAcentral